CAGAAUCCGCGCUCCCGCCCUCCAUUGUUCCCCGUGGCUAGCUAGGGUUUCGUCCGCCACCUCAUCUCCGGCGACGGCGGGUCCAGCAGCAUGCGGAUCCGGUAUCGGGCUAUCCCAGGUUGGUAGUUCCACUCAUUCCUUGCACAAAUUCUCCCUCCCCACCUCACCUCACCAUCUCCUCGUUUCGUUCCCUUUUCUACAGCAUGGCACGGAUGGGACGACGACGGCAGCAGGAGGGCGCGGGCCAUGUCCUGCUCGAGGAGGCGGAUAGUAGGGGCGCGCCCAGCCGGCAACCCUGUCCUGCUCGAGGAGGUGGAUAGUAGGGGCGCACCCAGCCGGCAGCCCUAUCCUUCUCGAGGAGGCGGAUAGUAGGGGUGUGCCCAGCCGGAUCCAUCUUCGGUCGGCGGCCACGGAUCCAUCUUCAGUCGGCGGCGAGCUGUGGUGACGUACAUGUGGUGCUGAUGGAUGC
This 469-nucleotide long non-coding RNA is filed under the name Hordeum vulgare. RNAcentral describes it as "long non-coding RNA (HVUL_LNC019655)". The record is from RNAcentral. Lineage: Eukaryota; Viridiplantae; Streptophyta; Magnoliopsida; Poales; Poaceae.